GAAUUUUGGGCAAUGGGCGAAAGCCUGACCCAGCAACGCCGCGUGAAGGAUGAAGUAUUUCGGUAUGUAAACUUCGAAAGAAUGGGAAGAAUAAAUGACGGUACCAUUUAUAAGCUCCGGCUAACUACGUGCCAGCAGCCGCGGUAAUACGUAGGGAGCAAGCGUUGUUCGGAUUUACUGGGCGUAAAGGGCGCGUAGGCGGCGUGUUAAGUCAGCUGCGAAAUCUCCAAGCUUAACUUGGAACGGCCAGCUGAUACUGACGUGCUAGAGUGCAGAAAGGGCAAUCGGAAUUCUUGGUGUAGCGGUGAAAUGCGUAGAUAUCAAGAGGAACACCUGAGGCGAAGGCGGGUUGCUAGGCUGACACUGACGCUGAGGCGCGAAAGCCAGGGGAGCAAACGGG
This 400-nucleotide ribosomal RNA is filed under the name uncultured bacterium. RNAcentral's name for it is "bacterial SSU rRNA". It matches the Rfam family "Bacterial small subunit ribosomal RNA", at positions 359 to 776 of the family's 1533-position model. The record is from RNAcentral.